ACUAAGCGUACACGGUGGAUGCCCUGGCAGUCAGAGGCGAUGAAGGACGUGCUAAUCUGCGAUAAGCGUCGGUGAGGUGAUAUGAACCGUUAUAACCGGCGAUUUCCGAAUGGGGAAACCCAGUGUGUUUCGACACACUAUCAUUAACUGAAUCCAUAGGUUAAUGAGGCGAACCGGGGGAACUGAAACAUCUAAGUACCCCGAGGAAAAGAAAUCAACCGAGAUUCCCCCAGUAGCGGCGAGCGAACGGGGAGGAGCCCAGAGCCUGAAUCAGUGUGUGUGUUAGUGGAAGCGUCUGGAAAGGCGCGCGAUACAGGGUGACAGCCCCGUACACAAAAAUGCACAUAUUGUGAGCUCGAUGAGUAGGGCGGGACACGUGGUAUCCUGUCUGAAUAUGGGGGGACCAUCCUCCAAGGCUAAAUACUCCUGACUGACCGAUAGUGAACCAGUACCGUGAGGGAAAGGCGAAAAGAACCCCGGCGAGGGGAGUGAAAAAGAACCUGAAACCGUGUACGUACAAGCAGUGGGAGCCUCUUAAUGGGGUGACUGCGUACCUUUUGUAUAAUGGGUCAGCGACUUAUAUUCUGUAGCAAGGUUAACCGAAUAGGGGAGCCGAAGGGAAACCGAGUCUUAACUGGGCGUUAAGUUGCAGGGUAUAGACCCGAAACCCGGUGAUCUAGCCAUGGGCAGGUUGAAGGUUGGGUAACACUAACUGGAGGACCGAACCGACUAAUGUUGAAAAAUUAGCGGAUGACUUGUGGCUGGGGGUGAAAGGCCAAUCAAACCGGGAGAUAGCUGGUUCUCCCCGAAAGCUAUUUAGGUAGCGCCUCGUGAAUUCAUCUCCGGGGGUAGAGCACUGUUUCGGCAAGGGGGUCAUCCCGACUUACCAACCCGAUGCAAACUGCGAAUACCGGAGAAUGUUAUCACGGGAGACACACGGCGGGUGCUAACGUCCGUCGUGAAGAGGGAAACAACCCAGACCGCCAGCUAAGGUCCCAAAGUCAUGGUUAAGUGGGAAACGAUGUGGGAAGGCCCAGACAGCCAGGAUGUUGGCUUAGAAGCAGCCAUCAUUUAAAGAAAGCGUAAUAGCUCACUGGUCGAGUCGGCCUGCGCGGAAGAUGUAACGGGGCUAAACCAUGCACCGAAGCUGCGGCAGCGACACUAUGUGUUGUUGGGUAGGGGAGCGUUCUGUAAGCCUGUGAAGGUGUACUGUGAGGUAUGCUGGAGGUAUCAGAAGUGCGAAUGCUGACAUAAGUAACGAUAAAGCGGGUGAAAAGCCCGCUCGCCGGAAGACCAAGGGUUCCUGUCCAACGUUAAUCGGGGCAGGGUGAGUCGACCCCUAAGGCGAGGCCGAAAGGCGUAGUCGAUGGGAAACAGGUUAAUAUUCCUGUACUUGGUGUUACUGCGAAGGGGGGACGGAGAAGGCUAUGUUGGCCGGGCGACGGUUGUCCCGGUUUAAGCGUGUAGGCUGGUUUUCCAGGCAAAUCCGGAAAAUCAAGGCUGAGGCGUGAUGACGAGGCACUACGGUGCUGAAGCGACAAAUGCCCUGCUUCCAGGAAAAGCCUCUAAGCAUCAGGUAACAUCAAAUCGUACCCCAAACCGACACAGGUGGUCAGGUAGAGAAUACCAAGGCGCUUGAGAGAACUCGGGUGAAGGAACUAGGCAAAAUGGUGCCGUAACUUCGGGAGAAGGCACGCUGAUAUGUAGGUGAAGCGACUUGCUCGUGGAGCUGAAAUCAGUCGAAGAUACCAGCUGGCUGCAACUGUUUAUUAAAAACACAGCACUGUGCAAACACGAAAGUGGACGUAUACGGUGUGACGCCUGCCCGGUGCCGGAAGGUUAAUUGAUGGGGUUAGCGGUAACGCGAAGCUCUUGAUCGAAGCCCCGGUAAACGGCGGCCGUAACUAUAACGGUCCUAAGGUAGCGAAAUUCCUUGUCGGGUAAGUUCCGACCUGCACGAAUGGCGUAAUGAUGGCCAGGCUGUCUCCACCCGAGACUCAGUGAAAUUGAACUCGCUGUGAAGAUGCAGUGUACCCGCGGCAAGACGGAAAGACCCCGUGAACCUUUACUAUAGCUUGACACUGAACAUUGAGCCUUGAUGUGUAGGAUAGGUGGGAGGCUUUGAAGUGUGGACGCCAGUCUGCAUGGAGCCGACCUUGAAAUACCACCCUUUAAUGUUUGAUGUUCUAACGUGGGCCCCUUACCGGGGUUGCGGACAGUGUCUGGUGGGUAGUUUGACUGGGGCGGUCUCCUCCUAAAGAGUAACGGAGGAGCACGAAGGUUGGCUAAUCCUGGUCGGACAUCAGGAGGUUAGUGCAAUGGCAUAAGCCAGCUUGACUGCGAGCGUGACGGCGCGAGCAGGUGCGAAAGCAGGUCAUAGUGAUCCGGUGGUUCUGAAUGGAAGGGCCAUCGCUCAACGGAUAAAAGGUACUCCGGGGAUAACAGGCUGAUACCGCCCAAGAGUUCAUAUCGACGGCGGUGUUUGGCACCUCGAUGUCGGCUCAUCACAUCCUGGGGCUGAAGUAGGUCCCAAGGGUAUGGCUGUUCGCCAUUUAAAGUGGUACGCGAGCUGGGUUUAGAACGUCGUGAGACAGUUCGGUCCCUAUCUGCCGUGGGCGCUGGAGAACUGAGGGGGGCUGCUCCUAGUACGAGAGGACCGGAGUGGACGCAUCACUGGUGUUCGGGUUGUCAUGCCAAUGGCACUGCCCGGUAGCUAAAUGCGGAAGAGAUAAGUGCUGAAAGCAUCUAAGCACGAAACUUGCCCCGAGAUGAGUUCUCCCUGACUCCUUGAGAGUCCUGAAGGAACGUUGAAGACGACGACGUUGAUAGGCCGGGUGUGUAAGCGCAGCGAUGCGUUGAGCUAACCGGUACUAAUGAACCGUGAGGCUUAACC
RNAcentral lists this ribosomal RNA (2893 nucleotides) under Escherichia coli. Its description in RNAcentral is "bacterial LSU rRNA". It matches the Rfam family "Bacterial large subunit ribosomal RNA". Lineage: Bacteria; Pseudomonadati; Pseudomonadota; Gammaproteobacteria; Enterobacterales; Enterobacteriaceae. The record is from RNAcentral.